Molecule: ribosomal RNA, 253 nt
Filed under: uncultured bacterium
Lineage: Bacteria
Description: partial 16S ribosomal RNA
Rfam family: Bacterial small subunit ribosomal RNA
Source: RNAcentral
UACGGAGGGGGCUAGCGUUGUUCGGAAUUACUGGGCGUAAAGCGCACGUAGGCGGCUUUGCAAGUCAGAGGUGAAAGCCCGGGGCUCAACCCCGGAAUUGCCUUUGAGACUGCAUCGCUAGAAUUGUGGAGAGGUAAGUGGAAUUCCAGGUGUAGCGGUGAAAUGCGUAGAUAUCUGGAGGAACACCGGUGGCGAAGGCGGCAUCCUGGACCGGUAUUGACGCUGAGGCGCGAAAGCUAGGGGAGCAAACGGG